GUCUGUGGCCAUACCACCCAGAACGCACUCGAUCUCAUCUCAUCUCCAAAGCUAAGCUAAGCAUGGUUGGCCUGGUUAGUACUUGGAUGGGAGAAAACUGUUAUCCUACC
RNAcentral lists this ribosomal RNA (110 nucleotides) under Nomascus leucogenys (northern white-cheeked gibbon). Lineage: Eukaryota; Metazoa; Chordata; Mammalia; Primates; Hylobatidae. The record is from RNAcentral.